Molecule: ribosomal RNA, 606 nt
Filed under: Farysia thuemenii
Lineage: Eukaryota; Fungi; Basidiomycota; Ustilaginomycetes; Ustilaginales; Ustilaginaceae
Description: eukaryotic LSU rRNA
Rfam family: Eukaryotic large subunit ribosomal RNA
Source: RNAcentral
AACUAACAAGGAUUCCCCUAGUAACGGCGAGUGAAGAGGGAAGAGCCCAAGAUUGAAAGCUGGCGCCUUCGGCGUCCGCAUUGUAAUCUCAAGAAGCAUUUUCCGCUUCGGACCAAGCCUAAGUCCCUUGGAAAAGGGCAUCGUAGAGGGUGAGAAUCCCGUACAUGGCUUGGAGCGCCCGAGGCUUUGUGAUAUGCAUUCUAAGAGUCGAGUUGUUUGGGAAUGCAGCUCAAAAUGGGUGGUAAAUGCCAUCUAAGGCUAAAUAUUGGGGAGAGACCGAUAGCGAACAAGUACCGUGAGGGAAAGAUGAAAAGAACUUUGAAAAGAGAGUUAAACAGUACGUGAAAUUGCCAAAAGGGAAGGGUAGGAGGUCAGAGAUGCGGCAUGGGAUUCAGCCUUGCUUUUGCUUGGUGUUUUUCCCAUUUUGCAGGCCAACGUCGGUUUUGGGCACUGGAGAAUGGUGGGAGGAAUGUGGCACUCUUCGGGGUGUGUUAUAGCCUCCUACUGGAUACAGCGACCGGGACCGAGGAACGCAGCGUACUCGAAAGAGCGGGCCUUCGGGCACCUUUACGCUUAGGGCGUUGGCAUAAUGACCCUCUACCACCC